UACGUAGGGAGCAAGCGUUGUCCGGAAUCAUUGGGCGUAAAGCGCGCGUAGGCGGCCUCGUAAGUCCGUUGUGAAAGUCAAAGGCUCAACCUUUGAAAGCCGAUGGAUACUGUGAGGCUAGAGUCCGGAAGAGGCGAGUGGAAUUCCUGGUGUAGCGGUGGAAUGCGCAGAUAUCAGGAGGAACACCGGUGGCGAAGGCGGGUCUCUGGGCAGUAACUGACGCUGAGGAGCGAAAGCGUGGGGAGCGAACAGG
This 253-nucleotide ribosomal RNA is filed under the name uncultured bacterium. Its description in RNAcentral is "partial 16S ribosomal RNA". It matches the Rfam family "Bacterial small subunit ribosomal RNA", at positions 524 to 776 of the family's 1533-position model. The record is from RNAcentral.